UCGAGGUCGAAGAUAUAGAGGGACGCAAUUUUUAUACUUAGAGCAAUUUAGGCAAUUUUCCGUUUUUGUUAUCGAACUGCGACUCAACUAGGUUUUCAGGUCUUAGGUGGUUAGAACUAGGAUCUCGCCGACAGAUCUUACGCCUGAGGCCUUACCUGUUGUAAACGCUUAUACGGAAAUUUGGAAUAAGAUCUUCUUUGC
RNAcentral lists this long non-coding RNA (201 nucleotides) under Brassica rapa (field mustard). RNAcentral describes it as "long non-coding RNA (BRAP_LNC004404)". Lineage: Eukaryota; Viridiplantae; Streptophyta; Magnoliopsida; Brassicales; Brassicaceae. The record is from RNAcentral.